RNAcentral lists this ribosomal RNA (65 nucleotides) under Candidatus Bartonella washoeensis. RNAcentral's name for it is "Bartonella washoeensis partial 16S rRNA". Lineage: Bacteria; Pseudomonadati; Pseudomonadota; Alphaproteobacteria; Hyphomicrobiales; Bartonellaceae. The record is from RNAcentral.
GGGUCAGCGACAAGGGGUGAAGUCGUAACAAGGUAGCCGUAGGGGAACCUGUGGCUGGAUCACCU